UUUUGUUUCAUUGACACAUCUUUGAGUAACCCUUUACUGUUAAACUCCAAAAGCCCAAAAUGGUCUGUUCCACCAUCUGAUGCCACGAAGAGGCAGUUUUUAAGUUAACAGCUAUCUUUUGCGUUUUGUUCAGUAGUGAUUGGCAAUUCCACGGCUGAAAUAAUUUGAAUGUUUCUAGUGAAGGAGCAUGGAGUUUAAAAACACAGUGGAGCAAUUCCUGUAUUACCUCAUGAUGUCACAUGAUGGAGUGUUUUCUGUCUGAGAGAAAAAUGGAACCAAACACAACUCCAGGUAUGUUUCUGAUGAGGAAACAACAUUAUAAUGAGCCUAAAUAGCAUAAUAUAGGCCCUUUAUUAUCAGUAUUGGGACCCUCUGUUUGACUAUCCGAUGACCUGUGCAUAACGUGUCCAUUUCAGACUACAUCUAUCUUUGUUGUCUUCCUCCUUUAAGGGUCUAUUUGUCGUUAUUGUCUUUCUUAAGGCAGUAUAAGGCAACCGCACUGUGUUAGUUAAUUUAUGAAGUUCUCCCUUUGGCAAACAAACAAAGGAGCCUGAGAGAUGGAUUCUGGGAAUGGAGGUCUUGGCUACUGCUCUAAGAAGUUUAGCCCAGAGGCAGAUUUUAAUUGGAUUUUACCAAUCUCUUGAGUAGGUCUCUGUGAGGAUACAUUGUGUAACAUUUAAUCAUCCAUAACAAGAGCUCUUACUUCGUGCAUCAGGCAUUUAAAAGGAGAUGUGUUAAUUUAUUUCACUAAUUCAAGAGAAAACAACAACAACAACAUUGAUAUAUUUGAGAUAAGUUAACUUUUACAUAAUACAAUACAGGCCUCUGCAAACAAAACAUUAUAUUCUGUCUUCAGUCUACACAGUGACUCAGUCUUGAUCACAAAAGUAAUUUAACUUUAUUUCAAAAUUGUCUAGCUCCAACACAAUUGCACACUGACAAACAACCAUCCACUCUCAUUAACUUCUCACACCAGUGAAUGCUUCAAAUCUAUAUUGCAAUAGUGUUCUCCCAUUAUUAGUUUACUCUGAGAGUUGUUGUAUUGUUCAAAAAUGUUGCAUAGUAAUUUUGCCAAAAUAAAGACACAGUCAAUUAAAAUCUACUUUUUGAAGAGGCAAGUUGUUUUAAAUCAAUAUUCUGUUUUACGUACUAAUGUAACUCUGUACAUGUUUAGUUUAAUGUUAAAUACUAUAAAUAAAGCAUUCUGUAUCUAAUUUAAUUGAUUUCCCCUAACCCAGUCUCUCCAUGCUUUCCAAACUGACCAUGGAUUAUUAAUGUCUGAUUUAUGUAAAACCAGAGCUGCUCUUUCAUCCCCAAAUUGAGGUUACCGGUACUCAGCUGGCACCAGAUCAACAGUGAGUCAAUGAACAGGGACACUUCCUCUCAACAUUUCUGUAGCUAACAAACUGAAUGAAAACCUUUGAUAUUUUAGCCUUUAUAUUUAGUCCUACAUAUAUGAAUUGUAUUUUCUCCGGACACGUUUCUCCCAGACCAAUGAAAGCAACUUAUUGCAAUGAAAGUGUGCUGUGCUUUGACGUCAUUUGAAUGAGUCACCGCCUGACUCUCUGAAUGGGCUGAACUCACUGGGUGACCUCACUUUGGGACCUCCCAUUCAUUGAGUGGGUAUAUGGGCACCUGGGCUGGCAACCAUUUUGUGUGCUGUGGUCCAAGACAAGAAAAAUAUCUGAUGAAGGCUUUUUUUGCCGAAACGUUAUUUUGUUAAUAAAAUAGUAUUUGGACAUCG
Long non-coding RNA from Boleophthalmus pectinirostris (great blue-spotted mudskipper), 1744 nucleotides. RefSeq lists it as uncharacterized. NCBI's taxonomy places the organism in Eukaryota, Metazoa, Chordata, Actinopteri, Gobiiformes, Gobiidae. The record is from RefSeq and is a predicted model, not a curated record. The transcript is spliced from 2 exons.